AGGGAAGCAAGAUAGUGAUAUGGAGCAAAACCCUAAAAAGCGGUCUCAGUUCGGAUUGAAGGCUGAAAUUCGCCUUCAUGAAGCUGGAAUUGCUAGUAAUGGCAGGUCAGCAUACUGCCGUGAAUACGUUCCCGGGCCUUGUACACACCGCCCGUCACACCAUGAGAGUUGGGAAUGCCCGAAGCCGGUGACCUAACCGAAAGGGAGGAGCCGUCGAAGGCAGGCUUGAUAACUGGGGUGAAGUCGUAACAAGGUAAC
This 258-nucleotide ribosomal RNA is filed under the name uncultured bacterium. RNAcentral describes it as "partial 16S ribosomal RNA". It matches the Rfam family "Bacterial small subunit ribosomal RNA", at positions 1243 to 1500 of the family's 1533-position model. The record is from RNAcentral.